This 640-nucleotide ribosomal RNA is filed under the name uncultured bacterium. Its description in RNAcentral is "bacterial SSU rRNA". It matches the Rfam family "Bacterial small subunit ribosomal RNA", at positions 232 to 885 of the family's 1533-position model. The record is from RNAcentral.
CGCGGCCUAUCAGCUUGUUGGUGAGGUAACGGCUCACCAAGGCAACGACGGGUAGCUGGUCUGAGAGGACGAUCAGCCACACUGGAACUGAGACACGGUCCAGACUCCUACGGGAGGCAGCAGCAGGGAAUCUUGCGCAAUGGGCGAAAGCCUGACGCAGCGACGCCGCGUGGGGGAUGAAGGCCUUCGGGUUGUAAACCCCUUUCAGGAGGGAAGAAAAUGACGGUACCUCCAGAAGAAGCCCCGGCCAACUACGUGCCAGCAGCCGCGGUAAUACGUAGGGGGCGAGCGUUGUCCGGAUUUAUUGGGCGUAAAGGGCUCGUAGGCGGCUUGACAAGUCGAUCGUGAAAACUCAGGGCUCAACCCUGAGGCGCCGGUCGAUACUGUCAUGGCUAGGGUCCGGUAGAGGAGAAUGGAAUUCCCGGUGUAGCGGUGAAAUGCGCAGAUAUCGGGAGGAACACCAGUAGCGAAGGCGGUUCUCUGGGCCGGUACCGACGCUGAGGAGCGAAAGCGUGGGGAGCAAACAGGAUUAGAUACCCUGGUAGUCCACGCCGUAAACGUUAGGUGCUAGGUGUGGCGUCUUUAUCAACGGAUGCCGUGCCGAAGCUAACGCGUUAAGUACCCCGCCUGGGGAGUACGG